Molecule: ribosomal RNA, 500 nt
Filed under: uncultured bacterium
Lineage: Bacteria
Description: partial 16S ribosomal RNA
Rfam family: Bacterial small subunit ribosomal RNA
Source: RNAcentral
AUUGAACGCUAGCGGGAUGCCUUACACAUGCAAGUCGAACGGCAGCGCGGACUUCGGUCUGGCGGCGAGUGGCGAACGGGUGAGUAAUGUAUCGGAACGUGCCCAGUAGCGGGGGAUAACUACUCGAAAGAGUAGCUAAUACCGCAUACGCCCUACGGGGGAAAGGGGGGGAUCGCAAGACCUCUCACUAUUGGAGCGGCCGAUGUCGGAUUAACUAGUUGGUGAGGUAAAGGCUCACCAAGGCGACGAUCCGUAGCUGGUUUGAGAGGACGACGAGCCACACGGGGACUGGGACACGGCCCAGACUCCUACGUGAGGCAGCAGUGGGGAAUUUUGGACAAUGGUGGAAACCCUGAUUCAGCCAUUCCGCGUGUGCGAUGAAGGCCUUCGGGUUGUAAAGCACUUUUGGCAGGAAAGAAAUCGCAUCAAUUAAUACUUGGUGUGGAUGACGGUACCUGCAGAAUAAGCACCGGCUAACUACGUGCCAGCCGCCGCCGUAA